AGUUGAUCCUGGCUCAGGAUGAACGCUGGCGGUAUGCUUAACACAUGCAAGUCGAACGGUCACUUCGGUGAUAGUGGCGGACGGGUGAGUAACGCGUGAGAAUCUGUCUUCAGGUCGGGGACAACAGUUAGAAAUGACUGCUAAUACCGGAUGUGCCUUUGGGUGAAAGAUUUAUUGCCUGAAAAAGAGCUCGCGUCAGAUUAGCUAGUAGGUGGUGUAAAGGACUACCUAGGCGACGAUCUGUAGCUGGUCUGAGAGGACGAUCAGCCACACWGGAACUGAGACACGGUCCAGACUCCUACGGGAGGCAGCAGUGGGGAAUUUUCCGCAAUGGGCGAAAGCCUGACGGAGCAAUACCGCGUGAGGGACGAAGGCUCUUGGGUCGUAAACCUCUUUUCUCAAGGAAGAUAAUGACGGUACUUGAGGAAUAAGCAUCGGCUAACUCUGUGCCAGCAGCCGCGGUAAUACAGAGGAUGCAAGCGUUAUCCGGAAUGAUUGGGCGUAAAGCGUCCGCAGGUGGUUUUAUAAGUCUGCUGUUAAAGCGUCAUGCUUAACAUGAUACAGGCAGUGGAAACUAUGAGACUAGAGUAUGUUAGGGGUAGAGGGAAUUCCCAGUGUAGCGGUGAAAUGCGUAGAGAUUGGGAAGAACACCGGUGGCGAAAGCGCUCUGCUAGGACAAUACUGACACUGAGGGACGAAAGCUAGGGGAGCGAAUGGGAUUAGAUACCCCAGUAGUCCUAGCCGUAAACGAUGGAUACUAGGCGUUGCCCGUAUCGACCCGGGCAUUGUCGUAGCUAACGCGUUAAGUAUCCCGCCUGGGGAGUACGCACGCAAGUGUGAAACCCAAAGGAAUUGACGGGGGCCCGCACAAGCGGUGGAGUAUGUGGUUUAAUUCGAUGCAACGCGAAGAACCUUACCAGGACUUGACAUGUCGCGAAUCUUGCUGAAAGGUGAGAGUGCCUUCGGGAGCGCGAACACAGGUGGUGCAUGGCUGUCGUCAGCUCGUGUCGUGAGAUGUUGGGUUAAGUCCCGCAACGAGCGCAACCCUCGUUUUUAGUUGCCAGCAUUAAGUUGGGCACUCUAGAGAGACUGCCGGUGACAAACCGGAGGAAGGUGGGGAUGACGUCAAGUCAGCAUGCCCCUUACGUCCUGGGCUACACACGUACUACAAUGCUACGAACAAAGGGCAGCUAGUUAGCAAUAACAUGCAAAUCUCAGAAAUCGUAGCUCAGUUCAGAUUGAAGGCUGCAACUCGCCUUCAUGAAGUCGGAAUCGCUAGUAAUUGCAGGUCAGCAUACUGCAGUGAAUUCGUUCCCGGGCCUUGUACACACCGCCCGUCACACCAUGGAAGCUGGUCACGCCCGAAGUAGUUAUCCUAACCGUUCGCGGGGGGAGAUUCCGAAGGUAGGGCUGGUGACUGGGGUGAAGUCGUAACAAGGUAGCCGUACCGGAAGGUGUGGCUGGAUCACCUCCU
This 1474-nucleotide ribosomal RNA is filed under the name Dulcicalothrix sp. HA4395-MV3. RNAcentral's name for it is "bacterial SSU rRNA". It matches the Rfam family "Bacterial small subunit ribosomal RNA". Lineage: Bacteria; Bacillati; Cyanobacteriota; Cyanophyceae; Nostocales; Calotrichaceae. The record is from RNAcentral.